UGGAGAGAUCUCCUGGCCAUCCUUUAGCCACUGCACAUCUCCUUUGGGCUUGUUGAUUUCACAUCGCAGGGAUUUUCAUCCCAUCCUUGUACCAUUUCGACAGGAGCAGAGGGGUCAUGAGAGAGUUCACAGCUGAGGACAAUGGGAUCACCUUCCUGGACACAUUUGUUCCGCAAACUGAAUGUCAUCAUCCUUUGACUCACAACGGUAUAUGCCAGUGUGAACUUGCUCUGCUGAUGGGACAACUAGACUU
Molecule: long non-coding RNA, 253 nt
Organism: Lates calcarifer (barramundi perch)
Lineage: Eukaryota; Metazoa; Chordata; Actinopteri; Centropomidae
Exons: 3
Source: RefSeq, a predicted model, not a curated record